UACGUAGGUGGCAAGCGUUAUCCGGAAUUAUUGGGCGUAAAGCGCGCGUAGGCGGUUUUUUAAGUCUGAUGUGAAAGCCCACGGCUCAACCGUGGAGGGUCAUUGGAAACUGGAAAACUUGAGUGCAGAAGAGGAAAGUGGAAUUCCAUGUGUAGCGGUGAAAUGCGCAGAGAUAUGGAGGAACACCAGUGGCGAAGGCGACUUUCUGGUCUGUAACUGACGCUGAUGUGCGAAAGCGUGGGGAUCAAACAGGAUUAGAUACCCCCGUAGUCC
Molecule: ribosomal RNA, 273 nt
Filed under: uncultured bacterium
Lineage: Bacteria
Description: partial 16S ribosomal RNA
Rfam family: Bacterial small subunit ribosomal RNA
Source: RNAcentral